This 2878-nucleotide long non-coding RNA is filed under the name Homo sapiens (human). RNAcentral describes it as "HSALNT0380402". The record is from RNAcentral. Lineage: Eukaryota; Metazoa; Chordata; Mammalia; Primates; Hominidae.
CCCAGGCUGGAGUGCAAUGGCAUGAUCUCGGCUCACUGCGACCUCUGCCUCUUGGGUUCAAGCGAUUUUCUUGCCUCAGCCUUCCCAGUAGCUGGGAUUACAGGCAUAACUGAAGGUGAAAGGACAGAAUCACCAUGUGUUACUGGCACAGAUGCAUCGGCUAGUGAAGAAAGAAGACAUUCAAACUAGUCCCGCUCUGUCGCCCAGUCUGGAGUGCAGCAGCGCCAUCAUAGCUCACUGCCACCUAGAAGCCGGGGUGAAGCAAUCCUCCUCCAUCAGCCUUCAGAGUAGCUGGGACUACCUGCGCGGCCCACCACACCCGGCUAAUCUUUGUGGUUUUUGUUUUGUUUUCCGUUCUGGGUUUCCGUCGGGCGCAGUGGCUCAGGCCUGCAAUCCCAGCACUUUGGAAGGCAGAGGUGGGCGGAUCACCCGAGGUCGGAGACCAGCCUGACCAACAUGAAGAAAUCCCGUCUCUACUAAAAAAAAGAAAAAAACUACAAAAUUAGCCGGAUAUGGUGGCUCAUGCCUGUAAUCCCAGCUACUAGGGAGGCCCAGGCAGGAGAAUCACCUAAAUCCGGGAGGCCGAGGUUGCGGUGGGCAAAGAUCACACCAUUGCACUCCAGCCUGGACAACAAGGGUGAAACUCCAUCUCAAAACAGAGACCGGGUUUCACCAUGUUGCCCAGGCGGUCUGGAACUCCUAGGCUCAAGCGAUCUGCCACACUCGGCCUUCCAAAGUCCUGGGAUCACAAGGGGGAGGCACCACGCCAGGCCGAUCUAUUCCUUUCUGGUUACUAAAUUGGACCGGGGGCGCGGUGGCUCACGCCUGCAAUCCCAGCACCCAGGGAGGCGGAGGCGGGCGUAUCACUUGAGGUCAGGAGCUCGAGAUCAGCCCGACCAACACGGAGAAACCCCGUCUGUACCAAAAAAAUAAAACCAAAAUUAGCUGGCAUGGUGGCUCAUGCCUGCAAUCCCAGACACUCAGGAGGCUGAGGCAGGAGAACCACCUAAACCCGGGAGGUGGAGGCCGCGGUGAGUCGAGACCACGCCACUGCACUCCAGCCUGCAAAACGAGCGAAACUCCACUCAAAAAAAAAAAAAAAAGACAACCGUGUUUCACCAUGUCGUCCAGGCUGGUCUGGAACUCCUAGAACCUGUAGAUGUUACCUCAUUUGGAAAAAGCAUAUUUUCAGGUAUGAUUAAGUUAAGGAUCUUGAGGAGAGAUUAUCCUGGAUUGUCUCCGUGGGCAUUAAAUCCUGGCACAUAUAUCCUUAUAAGAGGGAGAUAAAGGAGAUUUAACUUCAGACAGAAGAGAAGGAGGCCCUGUGACCAAGAAGGCAGAGCCUGGAGUGGUGGAGCUGCAAGUCAAUGAAUGCCAGCAGCCAUCAGAAGCUGCGCAAGUCAAAGGAUGGAUUUUCCCCUCAGCCUCUGAGAGCACUGGCUCUGCUGAGACCUAGAUUUCAGCCCAGUGAUACUGAUUUUGGACUUCUGAUAUCCAAAACUGUGAGAAAAUAAAUUUCUGUUGUUUUAAGUCACCACAUUUUUGGUAAUUUGCUCUAACAGCCACAGGAAAGUAACAUACAUGCCUACCUGGGUCCAGUUGUGUCCUGUGACUCCUGCUUUCCUGGGACAGGCAGGCUGCUCCGUGCCUCCUGGCCAUCCUACUGGGUGCUGGACGCUGUAGGCUGCUCCAUGCCUGUUGGCCAUUCCCUUUGGUGCUGGACAGCACUCACAUUGUGAAAUCCACUGGCCCUGUGAAAAACACCUGGAAAUGUUACCAGGAGAGGGGUUAGUUCUCUUUUUGGCAACCCAUGUUAUUGCUUAUGGCUUAAUAUCUGUGCCUCCAAGAUCCCUUCUCUCUGCCUUCAUCGAUGCCAGGAAAGCAGUCACCUUUUGCCUUUCUUUGCUUCUCAGCAAGUGGCAUGUCUCCAUGUCACUUUAAGCAUCAAGCACACGGAGCCCAAUAAGAUGCUGAAAAGUGUCUGCCUACAAGGUUACAAGGUGGUGGAGACAUUCUGAGCCGGUAACUGCAGGGCUCAGUAAAACCGCUACAGGAAAUCUCAAGUUCAAAAUGCUGAAGUGAAAAAUGGGUGAUCACAACGAAGGGAAACACAAACCCCUUCUUUUAAAAACAUUAUGGUGAUAAGGCACAACAUAAAAUUUACCAUAUUAGCCACUUACUUUUUAACACUGAUCUGCUGCUGUUGAGGCAUAUGCCGUUUUGUUAGGCCUCCUCAAGUGGGAGUCAGGAAUGCUGCUGUGUUCCAGAGAGGUUUUGUUCUUCCUGUAGGGCUGAAGCAGUGCCUACUCAAUAAAACCAGUCAUCGUGCAAAGAAAUGCCACCUGACUCAAAGGCAAAGCCAGAGUGCAGCUUGGAGCAAAGAAGUUUGUGUUGAAGGAGAAACUAACAACGAAAAUGGACUUGUUGACGGAAGAAAAGUAGGAAUGCAGCCUCUGGUGCUGUUUGAGUGAUCCCUCUGCCCCAGGCCUGGCUGCGCGCUGCUGUGUUCUGGAAAGGCGCAUUGUGCCCUCGCUGUGGCAGGUAAGAGUCCUGUACAGGUGCUCUGCCCACUUUACCUUUCAGGCUUCUGUAUCAGCUGUUUUUCCCUUGUAGAAUGUGCCCCUGACCUGUGCCCCUGACUUCCACCCCUUAACCCUGCCCAAUACAUCUUUACAUGUCUGACCAUCAAGACUCUUCUGGGUCAUAUUCAGUUCAUGCUGAUAUUUUCCCUUCCUCCCCUCUUUAGUCCUUACUAUUUUUGCUUUGGUCAUGUUAUGCUAUAUUCUGUAAGCCUUUAAAAAUUUUGUUGUAUCAUGGCAGGGGAGAAUAUUUUAUAAUUAUGCUUUGUGCGUUUUAUCUUCCACUCAAUGAAUGCUUG